Molecule: long non-coding RNA, 382 nt
Filed under: Selaginella moellendorffii
Lineage: Eukaryota; Viridiplantae; Streptophyta; Lycopodiopsida; Selaginellales; Selaginellaceae
Description: long non-coding RNA (SMOE_LNC001361)
Source: RNAcentral
UGGCAGUGGGUGGCACCGGUCAGUGGUAGCAUGGGAUUUGGCCGUGGCAGCAGCGCUGGCGGCAGCAUGAGAUCUAGUGGUGGCGCUUGGGUAGGCUCAGCAUCUUGUCAACGACUGACUCCCCACAACGUUUGUUUGUUUCAAACAUUUGAGCGUGACUCGCAACCAAAUUCUAAAACUUAAGCUUGCACACUUGCAGUGGUUCGAAAACCGGAACGUUUGAAAUAUCGCAUGAUCCAGAAUCCUUGUUUUCCGAUUCAGAGCAGCCGAUUUGAUUCCGCCGGUUUUGGAAUGGCUUCCUAUGUUGUGUGAAGCACCCGCUGCUUGAGCUCUCACCUGGAAAGAAACAUUCGCUGGGUAGAGAUGUUGUAGCGCUCCCGCG